CCUACGGGUGGCAGCAGUGGGGAAUAUUGCACAAUGGGGGGAACCCUGAUGCAGCAAUGCCGCGUGGGUGAAGAAGCACUUCGGUGCGUAAAGCCCUGUUAGCAGGGAAGAAAAUGACAGUACCUGGACCAGUAUCUCCGGCUAACUACGUGCCAGCAGCCGCGGUAAUAAGUAGGGGGCAGGCGUUAGCCGGAUUUACUGGGUGUAAAGGGAGUGCAGGGGGGGUGGAAAGUCAGCAGUGAAAAGCCGGGGGCCAACCCUGGGAGUGCCUUGGAAACUGGCAGGCUGGAGUGCAGGAGAGGUAGGCGGAAUUCCUGGUGUAGCGGUGAAAUGCGUAGAUAUUAGGAGGAACACCGGUGGCGGAGGCGGCUUACUGGACGGUAACUGACGCUGAGGCUCGAAAGCGUGGGGAGCAAACAGGAUUAGAUACCCGAGUAGUC
This 440-nucleotide ribosomal RNA is filed under the name uncultured bacterium. RNAcentral's name for it is "partial 16S ribosomal RNA". It matches the Rfam family "Bacterial small subunit ribosomal RNA", at positions 338 to 795 of the family's 1533-position model. The record is from RNAcentral.